Molecule: ribosomal RNA, 492 nt
Filed under: uncultured bacterium
Lineage: Bacteria
Description: bacterial SSU rRNA
Rfam family: Bacterial small subunit ribosomal RNA
Source: RNAcentral
UGGCGGCGCGUCUUAAGCAUGCAAGUCGAACGGCAAGAGGUAGCAAUACCUCCUAGAGUGGCGGACUGGUGAGUAACACGUGGGUGACAUACCCUUCAGAUGGGGAUAGCUAUUAGAAAUAGUAGAUAAUACCGAAUACGAGCACAGGGGUUAGAGAUCUGUGAGGAAAGGAGCUAAGGCUCCGCUGAAGGAAUGGCCUGCGGCCCAUUAGCUAGUUGGUGAGGUAAGAGCCCACCAAGGCGAUGAUGGGUAUCCGGCCUUAGAGGGUGAACGGACACAUUGGGACUGAGAUACGGCCCAGACUCCUACGGGAGGCAGCAGCUAAGAAUAUUCCGCAAUGGACGAAAGUCUGACGGAGCGACGCCGCGUGGAUGAAGAAGGCCGGAAGGUUGUAAAAUCCUUUUGAAACUGAAGAAUAAGCGUUGUAGGGAAUGACAGCGUGGUGACAGUAGGUUUUGAAUAAGCAACGGCUAAUUACGUGCCAGCAGCGGC